GUGCCAGCAGCCGCGGUAAUACGUAGGGGGCCAGCGUUGUCCGAAGUUACUGGGCGUAAAGAGCGCGUAGGCGGGUCUUUAAGUGAGAGGUGAAAGGUUCAGGGCUUAACCCGGACACUGCCUUUCAUACUGGAGACCUUGAGUGCGGGAGAGGCGAGUGGAAUGGUCGGUGUAGCGGUGAAAUGCGUAGAUAUCGAUCGGAACACCCAUGGCGAAGGCAGCUCGCUGGCCUGCAACUGACGCUGAGGCGCGAAAGCGUGGGGAGCAAACAGGAUUAGAUACCCCCGUAGUCC
This 293-nucleotide ribosomal RNA is filed under the name uncultured bacterium. Its description in RNAcentral is "partial 16S ribosomal RNA". It matches the Rfam family "Bacterial small subunit ribosomal RNA", at positions 505 to 796 of the family's 1533-position model. The record is from RNAcentral.